CCGCUGCCGGCCCCGACCGGGGGAGCAAGGAGCAGCCACUGGCUCCYGCGUCCCUCUUUCCCCGGGAUGUUUUGCCGAGCCCCCGUUCCCCCUCCCCGCGACGGCGAGCGGCUCCCGACCUGCCGCUCGGCUCCCCAACACCCACUGAGCCGGCGGCCGCUCGCACGGCCCGUCCUCGCGUUACUGCGCGGCGAGGAACUUCCUUACAAGGUAUUUCCAAACACCUCAAAACAAAACAUUAAUUGCCGGAGCAAAACACCAGCCCUUAUCGCGUGAUGCGAGAGAAGGCAGCUGCUGAUUCACCCUUGGAAAGAGCCAUCGUGUUUCCAUUAGAUAUUGAUGGACGGGGGUUUUUGGUCAAAACCUGAGGGCAGGCGCUUUUCCUCACCUUCCCUUUGCUGCCUCAUUCCCAAGCCAAGCGGGCCGGCCCAGUGGCAGCGCACGUGGGGGGAACCCUCUGCUUGAGCGGCCGAGCGGCUCCGGCGCCUGCCCUGGUGCCCCGGGGUGGCCAACAUGCCCCUCCGGGCUGCGGCCGAAACGGGCCCCGCGGGGGCUGCCGRCUCCCCACCGAGCCGCGCUGUGGCUUAGCGCUGAAAAACAUCCUGUAGAAAAGCCUCCACGUGCACCCGCGUCCGCGUUCCCCUUUUGCAACCCCCCCCCGAGCCGCUUCCUCUUUCAGGCGCCGGGGCUCGGCCUGCGCUGCUAUCAGCCCAUCGGAGCCGUGGGGCAGCUGUCGGUCUAUCUGUCCGUCCCGCAGGCUGUUCUCCUUCCCCCUCUGGUCCUGGUGACCAGCUCAUCCCAGGGAUGGGGCCCRGCCAUGGCAGGAGCUGCUCACGGCGGCGGGGGGCAUUUCCCAUUGGAGGCCGGGGGGCUCCGAGCCACGUCAUCGCCCAUCUGCAGGAGGCGAGACGGACUCAUUGCCGGCACCGGGCGCUGUGCCGACGCGCAGGGGCGCAAACCCCGGGUCCCGCAGGAGCCCCGCAGCGGAGCGGGGAGCUCGCCCCACGCUUCGGGCCCCC
This 1019-nucleotide long non-coding RNA is filed under the name Apteryx owenii (little spotted kiwi). RNAcentral's name for it is "lncRNA (ENSAOWG00000016942.1)". The record is from RNAcentral. Lineage: Eukaryota; Metazoa; Chordata; Aves; Apterygiformes; Apterygidae.